AGUUGCUUUGAUGGAUAUAAUUGUUACUGCCUGGAAAUUGAUUAAGCGUCUAUGGCAGGGCUCUCCAACCCUGUUCCUGGAGAGCUACCGUCCUGUAGGUUAUCACUCCAACCCUGUUCCUGGAGAGCUACCGUCCUGUAGGUUAUCACUCCAACCCUGUUCCCGGAGAGCUACCGUCCUGUAGGUUAUCACUCCAACCCUGUUCCUGGAGAGCUACCGUCCUGUAGGUUUUCACUCCAACCCUGUUCCUGGAGAGCUACCGUCCUGUAGGUUUUCACUCCAACCCUGUUCCUGGAGAGCUACCGUCCUGUAGGCUUUCACUCCAACCCUGUUCCUGGAGAGCUACCGUCCUGUAGGUUUUCACUCCAACCCUGUUCCUGGAGAGCUACCGUCCUGUAGGUUUUCACUCCAACCCUGUUCCUGGAGAGCUACCGUCCUGUAGGUUAUCACUCCAACCCUGUUCCUGGAGAGCUACCGUCCUGUAGGUUUUCACUCCAACCCUGUUCCUGGAGAGCUACCGUCCUGUAGGUUUUCACUCCAACCCUGUUCCUGGAGAGCUACCGUCCUGUAGGUUAUCACUCCAACCCUGUUCCCGGAGAGCUACCGUCCUGUAGGUUUUCACUCCAACCCUGUUCCCGGAGAGCUACCGUCCUGUAGGUUUUCACUCCAACCCUGUUCCUGGAGAGCUACCGUCCUGUAGGUUUUCACUCCAACCCUGUUCCUGGAGAGCUACCGUCCUGUAGGCUUUCACUCCAACCCUGUUCCUGGAGAGCUACCGUCCUGUAGGUUUUCACUCCAACCCUGUUCCUGGAGAGCUACCGUCCUGUAGGUUUUCACUCCAACCCUGUUCCUGGAGAGCUACCGUCCUGUAGGUUAUCUAGCACACUCGAUUCUAAUAAUGGUUGAAAAGCCGAAUCGGGUACGUUGCAAAUGGGGUUGGAGCGAAAACCUACAGGAGGGUAGCUCUCCAGGAACAGGGUUGGAGUGAAAACCUACAGGAGGGUAGCUCUCCAGGAACAGGGUUGGAGUGAAAACCUACAGGAGGGUAGCUCUCCGGGAACAGGGUUGCAGAGUCCUGGUCUAUGGGGUGUGAUGUCAAUGUCUUUAGUUAGAGUGCUUUUUGUGGAAUACCCUUUGAUAUGAGGAGGACACACACAGACUGAUGGAGGAGAUGCAGUAGUGUGGAGUGGAGACACAAACAGCAGGAAGACAAGUGAAUCGGACCACUUACAUGGGUACAUUGGACGCGCACGGGAAACUGACUUCUUCAAAGCGCAGAGUUUUAUUCCAGACAAAAAGAAGUACACUUCGAUGUAAUAGAAUAGGCCACCGCAGAGAUCAAUACUACACUCUGUGUAGAACCAACAGCCAUGCACACUUAGGGUUCCAAAUGGACUAGCUAGGAGAACAAUCGCUACAAAUUCCCAUGCACUGACAGACUUUAGUCAACAACAUGAAAUAAAUUAUUGAAUCCAAUCAACAACGAUUGCCUUUUGUUGUUUUAUGGAUAAACAGACCUUCAUAAAAGUAGUAAGGCAUUUUUAACUUUGAGAAGAUGUCAUGCUAAACAACCAGACGUCCACAUCACUAUCACCAAAAAUCAUCUAGUCUUAACAAAAUAGCCGAUAUAAAAGACAUGCAAGAAAUCCCAGACUGUCUGCACCAGCGCUGCAGUGACAGCCAUGUUACAACACCAUAGUAUUAUCAUGCACACAUACUUCCAAGAAAUCCCAUGCAAAAGGACAGCAAACUGAAUAUUCACACCCCUGAUUUCAAAAACAAUCUGGUAAAAUACUACCAUGGUAUAUCUUUCAGAGUUUCCUAAGCAAAACCAUGUGUUAGGAAACUGAAAGACAUACUACGGUAGUAUUUUAAGCAAAACAAUGUGUAAUCUAAGCCUAGCCUAGUACGGGACCAUUAAAACAUCUAAACAUUCCUCAUGUCAGAACAUUGCCUCUAAGCUUAGCCAGUUUUAAAAUUAGCGUCUUCACAUGUUAGAAUAACAGCCAGUAAAAAAAGAAAGGAAUAAUAUAUAACUUAAAUGAUAUUACCAAGGACAAAGCUAGGGUUGCAAACAACUUCUAGGAGAGAGAAGAAACGUCACAUAGCAGUGCCUCAAAGGAAUGCUGGGCUUUUCCUCUGUUGAAUGAGUGUAUAAAUACAGAACAACCUUUAUUUGCCCUCAGUCUGUACGGCUGUUCUAUCCCAUGCACUAGUCAAACACAGACAAACCUGAUGACAGACACUCCUGUUGACCCCAUGCAGAUUACAAAGGCCUGGCCACAGCUUCAGAGAGUGCAACUACUGUCACACAUGCAGCAAUGAUAAAAGGUGAAGGGGAGAGAGAGAGAGAGACAAACUUCCUUACAAUUAAAGUGAUAAAGUUCAUGCAUGAAAUAAGAAGAUACUCCAAAACAGACACAGAGGUUACAGAACCACCAGGGCCAAACAAAUAGGUUGUUGAUUUAUAGAAGUUUAACUGAUGUGGGUUUUCAUUGGGCUCCAUCAGUAUCCAUUCAACUUGCUGAUUGACUGAAGGUGAAAUGUAGGGUUUAUAGACCAUUGGAUGCAGGUGUCAUUCAGAACCAGAUGUUUGAGAGCUGACAGAUGAAACCCAAGCGGGUCCAGCCAUCACCAUCAUGCAGGACACAACUACCACAGUUACCCACAGCAAGGAGGCAGGAGCCCAUGCAGAAUCGUGAUUGGCUAAGAACCUGGCUUAAAAUAGAUCUUCUCCAGAGAUGGGCAGGAUAUCACUGGCACGCAAACUGACAAUAUUUCAAAGAAAAACAUGCAUCUUCUCAGCUUCUCCCCAACCCUGAAACAGUCACAUACGAGCCAAAGCUUCAUUUUGAAAAAUGAUAGUGAAAGGAGGGAGCUAAAUAUGAAAUAUAUGGCGUAGUUAUUUUACAGAUUGAGAGGAGAGCACUGUGCUGCAUGCUGGAGGCCAGGAGCCAUAAGCUUGUCACUAGCACUUUGCAGCACGGGGAGGAAAAAAAGAACAUUCUAGACUAGGAACUAAGAUAUGAUCAACCUGGCUACAAUCGGCCAUGCAUCAUCGUCUCAUCACGCUCUCCUAAAGUCCCGCGGUUCCAGCAACAGAGAAAGAUGAUUUAGAUUGUAUUUUGAAAUCAAAGCAGUGGAAGCUAUAAUAAGAAAUAAGAAAUGGUGCAAGACAGAACCGAGACCUAAACGAUUUAGAAAGCGAAAACUUCCCAGCAUGCCUUAAGGUGUCAACUCUCCUCCCCGCCCCAAAUGAACCAGGAAACAAGAAACACCCCAAAAAAAGGCAGCAAACCAUCUGGGGGGUACCAGCAGAGACCACAUCAGAGCAUGUCAGUGGAAAAGGAUGGCAGCUAGCGGAAUCAGUGUACAGGCAGAGGAACGAUGGUAGAAGGAGAGGAUGGG
Long non-coding RNA from Oncorhynchus keta (chum salmon), 3408 nucleotides. RefSeq lists it as uncharacterized. NCBI's taxonomy places the organism in Eukaryota, Metazoa, Chordata, Actinopteri, Salmoniformes, Salmonidae. The transcript is spliced from 4 exons. The record is from RefSeq and is a predicted model, not a curated record.